AUCCUGGCUUCAGUGGGAAAAUCUCUAUUGAUUCAUUAUCAAGCAAACUGUUCUCCAAGAAACCAUUGCCGGUUGCUGGUGGGCAGUACAGAUUCAAGGUGAAGGUUACCACAGAGUAUCACCCCUAACUAACAAGGUGCAGAUACCACCAAGGGAUGCUGACUGCCACUGAAAAGGGAUGUCUGCAUGGAAAAUCUCUCUCUCUAACUCAAUCAGAACUCCAAUCCUUGAUCCUCCAAAUGACAGAAUAAUUGGAAGCAGAUGAUCCUCCUUUUUCAGGUCAGAAGGCCUAACCUGAUGUCACAAAGCCCACAUCAUCCACCUCACUUCCUCUCUUCACGUUGACUCUCAUCAGUAUG
Molecule: long non-coding RNA, 359 nt
Organism: Manis pentadactyla (Chinese pangolin)
Lineage: Eukaryota; Metazoa; Chordata; Mammalia; Pholidota; Manidae
Exons: 4
Source: RefSeq, a predicted model, not a curated record